AAACAUGUGCAAAGCUUCAUCACUUGAUAGAUCCAUUUUUGUUAAAGCAUCUGUUAUUCAGUUAGCCUCUCUAGGAACGUAUCUCAAGGACCAUUUCUCUUUAAAGGUUAAAAUUUGUUGAAUCCUUCUUAUUGGAGUGCUUUUUGGACUUUCAAUCUUAUUCUCGUAAAUAGAUAUAACAUUCUUGAGAUUAUUCGACUGAAUGAUGACCUCGUUAUAUCCUUGUUUUUGAAGAAGAAGUAAACCAUCCAAUAUACCCCAGAGCUUAACAAUCGCGACUGAACAUUUCCCUAAAAAGCGAUUAUAGCCCAAGAUCCAG
RNAcentral lists this long non-coding RNA (319 nucleotides) under Gossypium barbadense (sea-island cotton). RNAcentral's name for it is "long non-coding RNA (GBAR_LNC016465)". Lineage: Eukaryota; Viridiplantae; Streptophyta; Magnoliopsida; Malvales; Malvaceae. The record is from RNAcentral.